CCGCAUUGAAACACCGAUUCCAGUACGAUCACUGAAGUUAAGCAAUGCCGAGCCUGGUCAGUAACUAAAUGGGUGACUGCUUGGGAAUACCAGGUGCUGUAAG
Molecule: non-coding RNA, 103 nt
Organism: Acanthosepion pharaonis
Lineage: Eukaryota; Metazoa; Mollusca; Cephalopoda; Sepiida; Sepiidae
Source: the annotation of a GenBank genome assembly